This 253-nucleotide ribosomal RNA is filed under the name uncultured bacterium. RNAcentral's name for it is "partial 16S ribosomal RNA". It matches the Rfam family "Bacterial small subunit ribosomal RNA", at positions 523 to 769 of the family's 1533-position model. The record is from RNAcentral.
AUACGAAGGGGGCUAGCGUUGUUCGGAAUUACUGGGCGUAAAGCGCAUGUAGGCGGACAUUUAAGUCAGGGGUGAAAUCCCGGGGCUCAACCUCGGAACUGCCUUUGAUACUGGGUGUCUAGAGUGUGGAAGAGGUAAGUGGAAUUCCGAGUGUAGAGGUGAAUUAAAAAAACGUAGAUAUUCGGAGGAACACCAGUGGCGAAGGCGGCUUACUGGUCCAUUACUGACGCUGAGGUGCGAAAGCGUGGGGAGC